UACCUCCGCCUGAAUUAUCACCUCCCCCUAUUAAAAACUCAAAACGAGGUUGCGCUUUCUGGUUAUAGCUGUUAGAUGUGUUCCUAAAACGUCCGGAUUACCUACCGGAUAACAUAACAUAAUUAACAUAAACAUAAACAACGAAAAUGACGCUUCGAGGACAAGAAUUCGAGAAAUAAAGUUUACUUGGUCUUUUGUGAUGUUCCAAUUCCAUUUUUUUGAAAGUGACUCAUCAUGUUAUAGUGUGGUAUUUUCUGAAUGACUUUAUGUGAUAGUGUGAACGUUUUCUGACUGGCAGAAGGUAAGUUUUUCAGUUAGCAAUUUACACUUUAAGUUAAAGCUCAACUUUAUCAUAUUGUUUAUUCACUAUUGGAAAACCACCUUUAUAAUCAUUUGAAGUUACGGAAUACUUAUAUAAAGGUUUAUUAGUUUUAAGUAUUUUAUUUAUUAUAAAGUUUAUUAAUUGUUUCAAGAUAUUCAGUUUUCUUUUUGCCCAACCUUGUCAGUCUGGUGCUAAAAAG
This is a non-coding RNA of Hydra vulgaris (swiftwater hydra), 521 nucleotides long. The record is from RefSeq and is a predicted model, not a curated record. NCBI's taxonomy places the organism in Eukaryota, Metazoa, Cnidaria, Hydrozoa, Anthoathecata, Hydridae.